UAUGCAAAGCUUGUCAUUUUUCUUUUUACAGUAGUUAAUGUUUGAUAAUAGUGAUUUGUGUUUUAUUUACUAGUUAAGAAUGACAAGGUUAUAGAGGAUUUCCUGUUCAUUUUAUCUCGUCAGGAGCACACAUCUCCUGGCAACAUAGUCUAGAAUUAUCAAAGCCCCAAGUUUGUUAUUGACAGGGCUUCUAGUAAAUCCAUAACAUGCUGCUUCUCAGUGGAAUAUCUUUAAUGUGCUGGUGAGAUUGUUCAGCACAAGGAAAAGCAGCUCUGGCAUCUAUGGUCGGUUUUUAUGUCCUUUGCACAUUCUUAACACCAGUGUUUUUACAUUCAUAAGAAGUGAAAAUUUGAAGAAGUGCCUGUUAGGUUUGAAACCUUGAACCCUUGGAAGUUGGGAUAUCCUGCAAACUAAGCUUGAUCCUGUAAUGUUGACUGAGGAAUGGAAAAGGAAAACAGGACAAUAGCACUGUUAGUUGUGGUGCAAACACAUAUAAGAAAGGUGCUACUGUUGAUGGUGCUGCUGCUCCUUAAAUACCAGAAGCAUAAUGAAGAAGUAAAGUGUGCCUGCUGUGAGAACUACCUUGCAGAACCUGGAUCACUUUGGAUCCAGACUGGAAGAUUUGCCUGGAAGCUGAGGACAUGGUUUGUAUUUGACUCUGAGACUGGAAUUGUAUUGUAACGCACUCCACUUCAGGGUGUUGUGGUGCAUCCUACCCCUGGUGCCUGGGAGCCAGCAGGGUAAACUACACAUUUAGAGGCAUUGGUGUAGGUAUUCCAAAGUCUCUAGACCCAGAUCCUCAAAGGCAAUUAGGGACCCAGCAUGGGGAGUGGAAUUCACAAACCCAAGUUAGACACCCUAUAUAGUGAAUGAGGUGACUUGGGAUUUACAACAUACAGCAUGCUGAAUGGGAUAUCUAAAGUCAAAAGGAAACCCUGAAGAGAGAAGUGUAUCCAAAAUCCAGCCUCUCUGGUGGAUUUAGGUGCCUACCUGCAGCCCUGAGUCACAUCUGUGAGAGGCUGGGAUUUGUAGCCUGAAAUCUACUCCUGCACUUAGGUGCUGGAAUUGUCCUUGUGGGUACAGAUGACUUGUUCAUUCUUCUCAUUCAAAUAUGUGAACCACCUUCCUUCAUGUUCUCAAACUGCUAGGCCUGGCUGAGGCCCACCAUCCCCUUUUCUUGUUGAAGCUGGGCCACGGUGGAGUCAAGAUUGCAUCGGGCCAGAGAGAAAACAAGCAAGAGGAAACCUAACCCUGUAGCUCACUGACAAGGGACCCAACAGCAGAGCAGGGUUCUGGGGUCUGGUUCCUGUUCCCAGGGCUGCUUAUGCAUUUUGUAUGUAAACAGUCACUGAAUAAAAUAUAUAAACAGUCCUGGAUUCA
This 1380-nucleotide long non-coding RNA is filed under the name Crocodylus porosus (Australian saltwater crocodile). RNAcentral's name for it is "lncRNA (ENSCPRG00005016221.1)". Lineage: Eukaryota; Metazoa; Chordata; Crocodylia; Crocodylidae. The record is from RNAcentral.